GAGGUUGUAGUUCAGUGGUAGAGCUUGCCUAGCAUGUGUGAGGCCCUGGGUUCGAUCCCCAGCACCACA
RNAcentral lists this transfer RNA (69 nucleotides) under Marmota monax (woodchuck). Its description in RNAcentral is "tRNA.Ala". Lineage: Eukaryota; Metazoa; Chordata; Mammalia; Rodentia; Sciuridae. The record is from RNAcentral.